Long non-coding RNA from Cyprinus carpio carpio, 274 nucleotides. The record is from Ensembl. NCBI's taxonomy places the organism in Eukaryota, Metazoa, Chordata, Actinopteri, Cypriniformes, Cyprinidae.
CGGGACAUGCUUUUACAUCAAUGAAAGGUGGUGUACAGAUGUAACAGUGUUAAAGAAGAUGUGCUGUUCAGAUCAAGAAACACUCUUCAUUAACUGCAAGCCGUUCUAUUCACCGCAGGAGUUUCACUCGUUCAUUCUGGUUUGAAAGAACACCCCACACCUGCCCUGAACACCUCUCCACAUAACCAUUCACACCAUUCACACCUCCUGCAACACCCCUCUCCCUCACACCUGCAAUUUAGAUCAGCAAAGACGAGGUGUUCCAGGUCUUCCG